GAAUGAAUGGCCGCGGUACUCUGACCGUGCUAAGGUAGCGCAAUCAAUUGGCUUUUAAUUGGAGCCAGGUAUGAAUGGAGUCACGGGGCUAAGCUGUCUCCUAACUAGUUUCUCGAAAUUACUAUGUAGGUGAAAAAGCCUAUUAAAAGAAAAAGGACGAGAAGACCCUUAGAGUUUUUCUAAAACUGAGAACAAACAUUAAUUUCUCAAAAAAGUUUGGUUGGGGCAACGUAGGAACAGGAUUAAAAAAUAAUUUCCUGAAAUUAAUCAACCGAUUGUAUUAUAAUUGAAUAAACUACCUUAGGGAUAACAGCAUAAUGUUAUAAAAAAGUUUGUGACCUCGAUGUUGGACUAGGAGACUAAAGGGCUAGCCGCCUUUUUGGGAAGUUCUGUUCGAACUGAUAAUUCCU
RNAcentral lists this ribosomal RNA (410 nucleotides) under Hexabranchus sanguineus. RNAcentral describes it as "partial 16S ribosomal RNA". It matches the Rfam family "Bacterial large subunit ribosomal RNA", at positions 1921 to 2597 of the family's 2925-position model. The record is from RNAcentral. Lineage: Eukaryota; Metazoa; Mollusca; Gastropoda; Nudibranchia; Hexabranchidae.